Molecule: long non-coding RNA, 3496 nt
Filed under: Salmo salar (Atlantic salmon)
Lineage: Eukaryota; Metazoa; Chordata; Actinopteri; Salmoniformes; Salmonidae
Description: lncRNA (ENSSSAG00000047551.2)
Source: RNAcentral
GACCUGGGAAGCUCUGAGGUACCGGAACGCAUGAGGGAAAGCAGUAGACUAAAGGCACACAUGGGGAACAUUUUAGUAGCCUAAGUCCUCCUCCAGGUGGGAUCACAUCACAGAAGCACCGCCAUCACCGGGAUCAAGAAAAGGAGAUACACAGCUACAGGAGGUCACGGAACAAUGAUAGACGCAGCAGUGAACGCCACGGUCACCACCAUCACCGUGGUAACCAUUUCCAAGAUGACCAGGAGCAAUCCCAUAGACGUCACCAUCAUCAUCCUCAGCACCUUCAUCACGAUGACGAGAUGUCGGAUCACCACACCACCGUCACCCUCUCCAGAGCAUCUUCCUCCUCCCUCUCAUCUUCCUCCUCUUCCUCUUCCUCCGACUCUUCCACCGAAUGGUCCGGCAUUGACGACAAGUUCUCCCUGAAGCACGCCAGCCGGCCGCAGCAUACCAUGUCCUGCUCCAACAUUGCAGGAGGACGACAGUUCCGGGAGGAUGACAGUGAGCUGCAGGUGUAUGCCACGGUCAAACAGGGGCGAAUGCACGGAGGAGGAAGCCCUGGGACCAACCAUCGGGCCCAGGGGAGGGGAGGACAAGAGCCCAGCUACUCCGAGCUCAACCGGGGCCAUAGCCGCAGUGAAGAGGGGUUGCUGCAGAAUACAGGCACUGACAGAGGGAAAGCACGGACACCCCCACACCUGAAGCACGGAUCCCUCUACAAGACAGCCAGCCUGGGCCGUAGCCUGGCCUUCAGUGAAGAGGUCCUGGCUGGGCCAAAGAGGGCGGUGUCCUCGAUCCAGCUCCCCAGUAAAGGCAUCCUGAAAAACAAGGAGGCGCCGCCGGACAUCCGCAAGGCCAAGUCCAUGGAGGUGCUGUCUUCCCGGGUAGCAGGCAAGACAGCAGGGCCCAAGGGGAAGCAGGAUGUGGAGGCUCUGAAGGAUGCAGCCAGGCAGAGCAUGGUGAAGGGGAAGAUACAGUUCUCUGCCUUCCUGGAUGAGAUCACUAAACAGGUCAUCAGCCCCGCCCGUCUCAAUACUCUGGGGGUACCUGUCGAGACUGUAGGACCGGGUCCAGCCAAAACCCCAGCAUCCCCCAAAUCUCAACUGAAAAGUCAGCCCCAGCUUCCCUUGAAAAAGCAGGGAGAUGGGCAGGGGGAGGAGAGGGAAACGGUUACUAAACCUAGAAAACUGAGGAAUGACUCUGACACACGGUCACGGAAAAUAUCUCUCCCUACAAAGUUUGGGUAUGAAAGCAAGAACCACACUCCUUGUCUAGGCAGCCCCCCAACCCACCACUCCAGCCAACCCUACCCGCCCCACCCACCGGCUGGCUAUGAAGACCAACCAGCCUCCCUGCCUGACUUCCAGGGUCCUGUCGGUAAUAGGCAUGGGCGGUAUGGCUCCCUUCUUACAGACGGCACUGUCAGCUCCAGCCCUGAGCCCAGCCAUCACAAACACCGUAGCUACAAACACCUUGACCAGAGCCACAGGCCCACCCAUAGCCCACCUUCAUCUCCACACACCCAGCAACCCCAGCUACCCCACCGCACCCCAAUCCGCACACACUCCCCUCCUCCAGUGCCAGGGCCCGAGUCGGAGUCUCCCUCCAGCAAGUCUGACUCAUCCCGGAACAGAGACCGAGACACGGCCAGCCCCAGCUCCGAGCAGAGCAACCGCCACAACCGGUCAACCUACCGCUGGCAUCCAAAGCCACACAGGACCUUGACAGGUGACACAGGCGAACUCCAAGCUCUCUCACCCCCUCUAUCAGUAAAGAUGGAUGAAGAACAAGAUGAAGGAGAAAUGGCACUGCAGGAGGAGAAUGCUGAGCUGCACCAGAACCUGAUGCAAACAGUGGUCUGCAUCGAGAGCCUGGAGGCGGAGCUAGCCAGGGCCAGGGAGGAGCUUAGCCACAUGAAGGAGAAGUUCAAGAGGCUCCAGGACACACACACAGGUACCCAGCACACCAACAGCCUUCUGGGGGAGAAACUGCACUCAGCGACUGAGAGCCUUAGCUCUGAGAGGAAGUAUAUGGUGCAGCGUAUCGCCCAUCUCAGCACAGAGCUGGAGCAGGCCAACGCCACCAUCGCCUCUCUGGAGAACAUCAAUGUUCCCUGUCUGAUCAAGGAGCUCCUAGAGAAGCACUUUGACUCUGGAGACACUGUCAAGCAGUUCCUGAAGAACGCCUUGAAAACCGGCCAAUCCACAAGCGACAUCCAAUCACCUGCUACAAAACUGGAGCAGAAGCCAUCUGAUUGGUCAGGAGGAGGGGUUUGGGGUGAUAGGUCAGACAGGAAAUGAGGAUUCUCGCCCGAUGAGUCCCCCUUUCUCCGUCGCUGACAUCAGUAUGGCUAUCUAUAAGAAACUAGCUGCCAGCCAAGCGGCAAGACAGCCCCGGCCUUCCAACUACCAACCUCACACUGACACCCCUCCCAACCCCUACCCUCUGGUGGAGUUGGGUACAGGGGGUGCAGGAGGUGCAUGGGAGGAGGGUUACCUUGUGCCUGCUGUCAAGGAGGGCAUGGCAGUUGCAGGGAGAGCAGCUGAGAGUAAGCAGGGUGCUGUUGUUGAUGUGUCCUAUCUGACGGCCCAGAGGGUUCUGGAUGACUUCAUGCACCAGCUGACACACCCAGAGGAUGGGAGCGCAGGUGGGGAGAGGGGGCAUAAGGCCAACGGGGGAGGGGGAACAACUGAAGAGAAGGGGGCAGAGUGAAACGAACCUAUGAAUUGCUGUAAUUGUAACCUUAUAUUACAUAGGCUAGGAUUGUUCAAGAUGUGAUGGUUUGUUUGUGAUGGUUUGAGGCCUGUAGUUCUGCAUUUAUUUAACAUUUUAAUGUCACUAUACAUUUGAGUGAUGGCAUUGUAAAUAUUACAUUCUGUUUCUUUCCCAAAUGUCUUGUGGUGCAGUUGUAAAGAAAGUAUUAGACUUAAACAAUUAAUUGAACUAUAUACAGAAUAUAAUUAUUAAUCCAAAUUUGCAAUGUGAUACAGUCCAUCCUUUUCCUUGUGAAGUGAUGCAGAAUUUAAAUGUUUUGUUAAUGCCUAGACAGUGAGUAGAAUUUUCUAUUUUAUAACAAUGACCGCUAUUUUGUAAGCUCCAGUAAGCCAAUGAAGGAACCUUCAUAUCUGAAUAACAUCGAUCCAGCUGGCAUUAACGUAUUACCCACUGUGUUUUGGGCUAUCAUGUCACAUGACCUAGAGUUUAACCUUUAUUUUAAGCCUUUUCCAGAAAUGAGAACUAUGAAAGCAAUUGUCUGAGGAUGGUGUCGGAGGAUGCUGCUGGACCAUCUGACAUAAAAAGAAAAGGGGACAGUUUGAUGAAAAAAUUUAAAUAAAGGUUCAAAUCCAGGUCUUGUGACAUGACUGUGCAAAACACAGGGCCCUACAUUAACGCUAUGCUGUCCAUCCUAAUGAACUGUCUUAGCUAAAACUGUAUAAAGCUGCUGUCCCCCCCAAGACUUUUGAUGUUGUAGAUUAAUAAAAUGACUAAUUCUAAA